AUUGAACGCUGGCGGCAUGCCUUACACAUGCAAGUCGAACGGCAGCAUGGAAGAGCUUGCUCUUCUGAUGGCGAGUGGCGAACGGGUGAGUAAAGCAUCGGAACGUACCGUGUAGUGGGGGAUAACGUAGCGAAAGUUACGCUAAUACCGCAUACGCACUGAGGUGGAAAGCAGGGGAUCGCAAGACGUUGCGCUAUACGAGCGGGCGAUGUCAGAUUAGCUAGUUGGUAGGGUAAAGGCCUACCAAGGCGACGAUCUGUAGCGGGUCUGAGAGGAUGAUCCGCCACACUGGGACUGAGACACGGCCCAGACUCCUACGGGAGGCAGCAGUGGGGAAUUUUGGACAAUGGGGGAAACCCUGAUCCAGCCAUGCCGCGUGAGUGAAGAAGGCCUUCGGGUUGUAAAGCUCUUUCGGCUGGGAAGAAAUCGCACAGGCUAAUACUCUGUGUGGAUGACGGUACCAGCAUAAGAAGCACCGGCUAACUACGUGCCAGCCGCCGCCGUAA
This 506-nucleotide ribosomal RNA is filed under the name uncultured bacterium. RNAcentral's name for it is "partial 16S ribosomal RNA". It matches the Rfam family "Bacterial small subunit ribosomal RNA", at positions 30 to 523 of the family's 1533-position model. The record is from RNAcentral.